AGGACGAACGCUGGCGGCGCGCUUAACACAUGCAAGUCGAACGUGAAGCCGGGGCUUGCCCCGGUGGAAAGUGGCGAACGGGUGCGUAACACGUGAGCAACCUGCCCCGAAGACUGGGAUAACACCGGGAAACCGGUGCUAAUACCGGAUACCCUCUUUUGAUCGCAUGGUCGGAUGAGGAAAUGGAUUCCGCUUCGGGAUGGGCUCGCGGCCUAUCAGCUUGUUGGUGGGGUAACGGCCCACCAAGGCGACGACGGGUAGCUGGUCUGAGAGGACGACCAGCCACACUGGGACUGAGACACGGCCCAGACUCCUACGGGAGGCAGCAGUGGGGAAUCUUGCUCAAUGGGCGAAAGCCUGAAGCAGCGACGCCGCGUGCGGGAUGAAGGCCCUCGGGUUGUAAACCGCUUUCAGCAGGGACGAAAUUGACGGUACCUGCAGAGAGGCCGCACUACGCGCCAGCAGCCGC
This 469-nucleotide ribosomal RNA is filed under the name uncultured bacterium. Its description in RNAcentral is "SSU rRNA". It matches the Rfam family "Bacterial small subunit ribosomal RNA", at positions 26 to 518 of the family's 1533-position model. The record is from RNAcentral.